UACGUAGGGGGCAAGCGUUGUCCGGAAUCAUUGGGCGUAAAGCGCGUGUAGGCGGCCCGGUAAGUCCGCUGUGAAAGUCCAGGGCUCAACCCUGGGAUGCCGGUGGAUACUGUGAGGCUAGAGUCCGGAAGAGGCGAGUGGAAUUCCUGGUGUAGCGGUGGAAUGCGCAGAUAUCAGGAGGAACACCAAUAGCGAAGGCAGCUCGCUGGGACGGUACUGACGCUAAGGCGCGAAAGCGUGGGGAGCGAACAGG
This 253-nucleotide ribosomal RNA is filed under the name uncultured bacterium. Its description in RNAcentral is "partial 16S ribosomal RNA". It matches the Rfam family "Bacterial small subunit ribosomal RNA", at positions 524 to 776 of the family's 1533-position model. The record is from RNAcentral.